GCAGUGAGUUUCCAGGUGUGGAUCCAGCAGUGAGUUUCCAGGUGGGGAUCCAGCAGUGAGUUUCCAGGUGGAUUUGGGAAUCUACCUGCAGAUCCUACCCAAGGUGCAAAGGAAGCUCUGCAAGGCAGAGCAAGGCAGCUCUUUGCAGUUCUUGUGAGACACGUUUGUCAGUUCUGAAAAGAAAAGUGCACAUGAAAAUGUGUAAAGUAGGAGUGGUGUUUGCUCCCUGGGUUUUCUGUGUUGGCUCCAAGAGAAAUACAGAAUGCCAAGAGAAGUGUGGAAAUUGUAACCUUGGGAUCCAUUUGGGGCAUGUAAAUCCUUCUCUAAGCACUUCCUGAAAAGCAGUGAAGUCCCAGAGUCAUCAGUAAUGCUUACAGAACUUGUGGAAUUUGGGUUUUUUAAGGAGCCUUCAGAUUUUUUUUUUUUUUUCACGUGGCUGAGAUGACACAGUGGCGUCGAGGCCAUUGACUUUACCAGAGGUCUCAUGCCACCAAAUCCCAGAGAUGCUUUCAAAAACCUUACCUCAAGUUCUCAGCCCUUAGCACUCCCCUCGGCUGCUCAAAAUGCAAAUCUGUUUCUUCUGAAGGUAGAGCACAUCCCUGUGAAGCCAAGUAGGCACCUCCAGGGACUUGUUUCCAUAACAACCUCCCGGACUGUUUCUCUCCGUGCUGUGACUGUGGCUACAAGCAAAAGCACUCGCUGGAUAUUUUGUGUUCAGAUAUCAGCACCUUAUCUUUACAGAUGUUUUCUUUGCUUACUGGAGCUGAUCCCAUCACCUUAUAUCACGUACAGCUGCCCUGUCCAACUGCAGGUGGGCAGUCUCCAGCCUUUGAAAGUAGGGAGUGCAAACCUGGGGAUGGGAAGAGGUUUUGUUUGUCCAUCCUCGCACACAGAGAGCUGGAGAGUGUGCGAAGGACAAUCUGAGCACUCAGCCAGGGAGCUGAGGAACAGCCAGCCUGUGAAUGUGGAGUCAUCUGUGUGCCUGGUGACAAGGAAUACAAACUAAAGCAUUGUAUUAAAGACCCAGAAAUUCCCCUUGCAGCAAUCUCACUAGGAAAUAGUUUUGCAGUGGAAGAGACUGUUGCUCCUUCCAGAUCCCAUGCCUGCUUUGUGAUGGUUUGUUCCCCUGAUAAUUUUCCCACAGGAUGUUUUGCAUCAAAGCAGGGCAGGUCAGAAAUCAUCUCCUUGGAGGCAGGGAAAGAAGGAAGGAAGGAAAAGAAGAAUUUUAUUGAGGACACAGAUUUUUUAUCCACACAAAGGACUAGAAGCAUGAAAGGCAUGAAGACCUGUUCUGUGGUGUUUUACUGGUGGAUUCCUGCUCUUACCUCCAAGACGAAAUUCCUCUCCUACUCCUUCUUGGAAAACGUUGGAAUUCAGGAUUUUUGAGUAAUUUUCUGUUUGGGCCUUUUGAUCCAGCUUUCAUGGAUAAAAAAUCACUGCCAGAGCAGCCACGGGGGUGAAGGUGACUGGACUUGGUAUUCUCUCCUGGGUCCUCUCAUUCAGAGGUCCCUAUAGGAUAAAGAAGAGUGAGUGUCAAGAAAAUUCAGGGCAGCAGGAGACAGGAUAAGGACUGGAGUGUCUUCCACAUGGUGAUGGAAAGAACAGCAUCAACCCUAAAAGCAAAGGAACAGACAGCUCCAGCAUCUGCUGCUGUUGCAGAAAUAGGUCCUGUUUGCAUCAGGGAAAGAUCUGCAGGAGUCAACCACAGCUUUCCCAAAAGCUCUCAUCUGACUCAAAUCCAAUGUGGGUCCAGUGUCAGCUCCAAUACUUCCUUGAAUUCAGUUAGGUGACACUCAAAUGCUCCAGAAAAGAUGGAAUGACAGCCCAAACGUCAUGGAUACUACAGCAUGUAUUCCCAGUGACAGAAGGGAUGUUCCAGUGCUUUGGCUAUGGCUGAGCCAAGCCAGUUGUUCUUUUCUGCAGUUGCAACACUUGCCCAGGCUGGAUUGUGAAUGCUUCAAGGCUGCCGUGUCAGGACACUGCAAAAGAGGCUUUUGAAUCUUUUUCCUGUAGAGUUGGUGAAGUUUCUCUCUGUGCAGGGGGUACAGCCUUUUUGGUCAGGAGACUGUUUUCCUUGCUCUGUGGUUUCCUUGUUGCUGUUGCUUUUAAAGAGGUCAACACUCUUAGUUCCAGGAAAUUGAAACUAAAUGUGAACAGGGACUGGAGGAAGGAAGCAGGGAGAAUCCCCUACAAGAUUCCAAUGCCUCUUGUUUCUGGGAAAACUAAAUAAAGCAGGAUUCCACUGCCAGUGGCCAAAUAGCAGCGAUUUAUGAGCUGUUCCUCAAAAGCCCCAGACAAGCACCGAGUCCUGUGGGAAGCUGGAGAUUGACACACGACACCUCCAGAAGAGCCUGCUGUUGAAACUUCCAUUCAAGCCUUUUUUUCAAGUGGAGCAUCCAGACCUGGCAAAUGCAUAAGGUCAGCCCUUAAAAGAGCAAGGAGCUCUCUCUAAGAAAAUCAAACAAGUGGCUGAAGUCUGUCCGUUUGUCUGCCUGUCUUCUUGGCCUUGGAUUACUGGGCUUUUCAAAGCUGUGCUUUCAUAACUCAGAUAAAAAGGUAGAUGUUUCAUAUAGCUCUACAAGUAGUAAUCAUCCUGUUCAUGCAAAAUAUCUGCUACCUGAGGGAUGGGCACAAACCAGAGGUGUUUCUCAUUUACCUGCAAAGCAUCUGGCUUUAGCAUCUGUACAGUCAGUUGUGAACACGUGAGUCCAUGCCUGCUCUAACAGAGUUAGUGGCUUAUUCUCAGUGGUCAUAGAGAAUUUCACUGAAAUAGCACAGUUUGUAGUCUAUUGUGUGACUUAGGAGACACAAGAGCCAGACAAUUCUGCAAUUGUAAUAUAAUUGUACACAGUGCUCCCAGAAAAUGCUCUGAAGUCUUCUCCCGCUGUACCAUUGUGAUAAAAACCUCUUCUGCUUUUCAAGCUCCACAAGUCCAUGCUGUGCCAUGCUGAAAGUGAUAGAAAAACCCAAUUAGCUCUGAAAAGUGAAGGGCAGAGUGAGGUGCUCUGGUCUGGAAUUCCCUCCCUUUGGCAGCAGCAAAGGUCAGCCAUGCAGCCAAAUUUCCGUGACCACGUGUGGAUCCAGCCUGUGUGUGUUGCCAGCUCUCUGCACAGGAGAGUGGGAGGGCGGGUAGGAAGGAUUGAUUCUAGAAGGGGAGAGCCUGAGAGGAAGAAUGGAGUUAAAUGUGAGAGUUGGGACUUUCAGAAGAUCGUUUGAUGGAUGCUGGGCAUCCAACUAUCCGAGAACUCUUUAUCAGUAACACCCUGUACAUCUUCCUGAGUGACUUUUAGCCUGUCUGGCAGUUUUCAGUGUCAGCGUGUGGGGGAAAAGAGGUAGGAGGCAACUCUGAUUUGGCAGCUCUGGGACUGCAAUACCUCCUUGUGGCUGCUGGCUGAGGGUCUGGAUCUCUGAGGAGCUUCCUGACUACCUGUGGCUUCCACAGGCUUGUAGGACUGGGCUUAGAGAAACCCUGAGCUGCCAGAGGGAGGCUGCUUCUGGUGCAGCUCUUCUGAGUAGUCCUGGACACGGAUGUGAGCCUGCAGUCCUUGGGAGGCAAAACACAUUCCACAAUCCCAAGGGACCUGCUCUGUCUCUCGGGGCAGGCCAGCUGUGGGAAUCCUCUGAGCCCUUUUAUCCUGAUCUGUGUGUCGAGGCCAGGUGGCUGACCAUGAGUGACCAGAGCUGCCAUGGACCCUUCUUGCAAGGGCAGUUGUCUUCAGAGUCAGUGUAGGUACAGGCUAUCUUUGGAAAAGUGUGAAUAUCCUGGGGAAAUCCAUGGGGCAGAAACCUUGGGCCAUGCUGUGUGCCCACACCAUCAGCAGGGAUGAUAUUGACAGGGCUGCUUUGCUUUUGGUGUGAAACCUUGCUCUGAUGCAUCAUUCCAAGGAAAACAGCUGGAAUUUGCAGGCCGGAUCAUGUGGUGAGCUGAU
Molecule: non-coding RNA, 3929 nt
Organism: Sturnus vulgaris (Common starling)
Lineage: Eukaryota; Metazoa; Chordata; Aves; Passeriformes; Sturnidae
Source: RefSeq, a predicted model, not a curated record